GAGAUAUUAGUAAAAUCAUUACGUAACUUUGUCAAAGUUAAAUUAUAGACAUCAGUCUGUAUAUCUCA
RNAcentral lists this transfer RNA (68 nucleotides) under Grammomys dolichurus (South African thicket rat). Its description in RNAcentral is "tRNA-Asp". Lineage: Eukaryota; Metazoa; Chordata; Mammalia; Rodentia; Muridae. The record is from RNAcentral.